GGUUGGUGGUUUUUUUCCUUUCAUCAUGUUAAAUAUAUCAUGCCACUCCCUUCUGACCUGUAGUUUCUGCUGAAAAAUCUGCUGAUAACCUUAUCGGGGUUCCCUUUUAUGUUACUUGUUUCUUUGCCCUAGCUGCUUUCAAUAUUUUCUUUUCGUCUUUAAUAUUGGUCAGUUUGAUUAAUAUGUGUCUUGGGGUAUUUCUCCCUGGGUUUAUUUUGUACGGUACUUGUUGUGCUUCCUGGAUUUAAUUGGGUUGUUCCUUUCCCAUGUUAGGGAAGUUUUUGGCUAUUAUCUCUUGAAUAUUUUUUCUGUUCCUUUCUUUCUUCUCCUUCUGGCAUUCCUAUAAUAUGGAUGUUGGUGUGCUUAAUGUUGUCCCAGAGUUCUCUGAGACUCUCUUCUUUUUUUUUUUUUUAAUUUUUAAAAAAUUUUUAUUUAUUUAUUUAUUUUUGUCUUUUUGUCUUUUGUUGUUGUUGUUGUUGUUGCUAUUUCUUGGGCCGCUCCUGCGGCAUAUGGAGGUUCCCAGGCUAGGGGUUGAAUCGGAGCUGUAGCCACCAGCCUACGCCAGAGCCACAGCAACGCGGGAUCUGAGCCAUGUCUGCAACCUACACCACAGCUCACGGCAACGCCGGAUCGUUAACCCACUGAGCAAGGGCAGGGACCGAACCCGCAACCUCAUGGUUCCUAGUCGGAUUCAUUAACCACUGCGCCACGAAGGGAACUCCUCUUCAUUUCUUUUCAAUCUUUUUUCUCUGUUCUGUUCCACAUCAGUGAUUUCCACUAGUUUGUCCUCCACCUCGCUUACCUAUUCUUCUGCCUCCCGUAUUCUGCUGUUGGUUGCUUCUAAUGAAUUCUUUAUUUCAGUUAUUGUAUUUUACAUCUCUGCUUGCUUCAGAUUUAAGUCUUGUAUUUCUUUGCUCAGUGUUUGCUGUAAAUUAUCCGUCUUUGCCUCCCUCCAGUUUAUUCCCAAUGUCUUGCAUCAUCUUCAGCAUCAACAGUCUAAAGUCUUUUUCCUGGAAGCUGAUAAUCUCCACAUCACUUAGCUGUUUCUUCUGGGGUUUUUUCUUUCUCCCUUAUCUGAGUUAUGGUUCUCUGUCUUUUCAUUUUUAUGGGUUUUUGCUGUGGUGUCCUUUUUGCAGACAAUAGCGUUGUAGCCUGACUUACUAGUUAUGUCUGUCCUCGUUGUGGCUGAAGUUGGUACAGGGGAUUGCCAUAGGCUUCCUGGUAGGAGGGACUGGUUUCUGCCCACUGGUAGGUGGGGCUGAUUCCUAUCCCUCUGGUGGGUAGGGUUUUGUCUCUGGGUGAGAUUAGAGGCAGCUGUGUGCCUGGGGGUCUUUAGGGAGCGAGUGUUUACUGAUGGGUGGGGCUGUGAUCCCACCUGGGUUACUGUUUGGCCUGGGGCUUUUCAGUGCUGAUGGGUGGGGCCAGAUUUUUCCAAAAUGGCCACCUCCAGAGAAACACAUGCUGAUGAAUAUUCCUGAGAGCUCUUCCUCCAAUGUCCUUCCCCUACAACAAGCCACAGUCACCCCGUUUUCCAAGGAGAUCCUUCAAGAACUGCAGUCAGGUCUGACCCAGAUUCCUGUGGAGCCUUUGCUUUGCCCUGGGACCCAGUGCACAUGAAAGUCUGUGUGUGCCUUUCAAGAAUGGAGUCUCUGGCUCUUGAUUUGGCCUCCUUUUUGUCUUCUGGAGAAGGAUAUCUUUUUGAAAGUUUCCUGUCCAUUUGGUUGAAGGUUGUUCAGCAUUUGGUUGUAAUUUUGUUGUUUUUAUGAGAGAAGUUGAGCUCUAGUCCAUCUAUUCCUCCAUCUUAAUCCCGUCUCCAAGAAACAGUAUUUUAUAUUUACUUAUAAGUAAGUGGUAAUAGCUUUACCAUUUGCACACUUCUGCGUGUAUAAUUUUUUUUUUUUUCAGAAUCGCUUUAGGAUCAAUUAUGAUUCUUCAUCUCUGAAUGCUUCAGUGAAGUAUAGGGAUAUUCUUUUACAUAACCGCAGUAUAGCUGUCAACUUCUACAUUGAUUUACAUUGAUUCAAUUUAUUAUUCAGAAUUCCUUUUUUUUCCAGUUCAUCUGACAGCGAAUCUUUUAGCAUUUUCCUUCACCAGUAUAGGGUCCAGUUAAGGUUAGAUAAUACACGUGGUUGUCGUACGUUUUUGACUAACAUGGAUCCUCUCCUGCACACAACGUGAGGGACAUUGUAGGCACAUCCCCUAUAGUGUUCCUUGUGUUGUGUUUGACAUUUUCUUGUGAUUAGUUUGACCUAGAAUAUGGCCUGGCAGUUGAUGUGUCCUCUGAUUGUCACAUCUGGAGGCCCAUGAUGAGUUUUUGUCCUUCAUAGGUGGUGUCAGUUUUGAUUACCUUGUCAGAGGGCAAGCUGUGGUCCAAUUUUUAGAUUGUAUAGUAAUGGUUAUAUUUUUCUUCCUUUGUAAUUAAUAGGUAGGUACUGGUAAGGCCAUGUAAAUGUCCAGCUCCUUAUCAAGAAUUUCUUCUGUAUGUCCUCUCCAUUGUUGAUUCUUGCCUACUGUAUUCUUCACCACUGCAAAAUGAUGGUUUUCCCAUCUAGCCCUCCCUACACACUGACCAGAUGUGGUUCCCUUCCCUCACACCUCCCUCCCUUCCUCCUUUCCCUCAUACCUUCCUUCCUUUCUUGUUGGCUAUGGAUCGUAAUUGCAUUUUAAAAAGACUUAUAACUCAUCGUUGUACUUAAUUAUUUUGGUGUUCAAAUUGUCCUAGAUUUGAACAGUGGGAGCCACUUUGGGUAGCUCUGUGUCCUUUUGUCAUGCCCCUAGCAUUUUUUAAACUCCUCCUUACUUUCUGGCCUAACAAGGUGUUCCAGGCUCAUCCUUUGCCUCCUCUUUCCCAGCUCUGAAAUUAGCCAUCUUCAUGAGGAGCCCUAUUCCUUUUAGUGGCGAAUGGUAUUAGAGACCAAGGUCUGGGAUGGCUUGCUUUCUUAAUUCUUUCAACAGACAAAUAGGACAUUUUGAACUCUAUUCUAUAUGCAUUAGGAAGUUGAUAGAAUUUUAUUAAGCAGUGAAAUAUAUUUGGUAUGUAGGAGAGCUAAAAUUCUCCUCUGCCCUCUUUGGGUCUGUGGUACCGCUUAAGAAUUAGAUUUAAGACAUGGGAGUUCCCGUAGUGGCUCAGCAGAAACAAAUCUCGAUAGUAUCCAUGUGGACCCAGGUUUGAUCCCUGGCUUCACUCAGUAGGUUAAGGAUCUGGCAUUGGUAUGAGCUGUGGUGUAGGUCACAGACGAUGUUCGAAUCUGGUGUUGCUCUGCUGGCCUACACCACAGCCACAUCAACACUAGAUCCCAGCUGCUUCUGCAACCUACACCACAGCUCAUGGCAGUGCUGGCUCCAUAACCCACUGAGCGAGGCCUAGGAUCAAACCUACAUCAUCAUGGAUACUAGACUCUUUCAUUACUGCUGAACCACAAUGGGAACUCUGGUUACACCUCUAAGUUUGAUACAAUUAUUACUCAUUUAUUGAUGCAAAAUUAUUUAUUUAUUUAUUUACUUAUUUAUUUUUGGCUUUUUAGGGCCACACUCUUGGCAUAUGGAAGUUCCCAGGCUAGGGGUAGAAUUGGAGCUGCAACUGCCGGCCUACACCACAGCUAUAGCAACUUGGGAUCCAAGCUGUGUCUGCAACCUGCACCACCUACACUACAGCUCAUGGCACCACUGGAUCCUUCACCCAUUGAGCAAGGCCAGGGAUUGAACCUGCAUCUACAUGGAUACUGGUUGGAUUCAUUUCCACUUCGCCACAAUGGGAACUCCAUUGAUGCGAAUUUUAAAAAGUGGAAUUUUUUUCACACUGUAGAUUUAUUUUUAGUGUGUCAAUAAAAAAGAGACUAAGGUACCAAAGAACUGGGGCUAGAACUGUUUUCUUAUACUGAUGGUCUUUUGCUUGAGUUAGAGAGAUAGUAUAAGUGGUUCAGAACCUGAGAACUUGGGAGCCAGACUGUGUGGGGUGGCAUCUGCACCCCAUUUACUAGCUAGGUAGCUUUGGGUAAGUUACUUGACUUCUCUGUGUCUCAUUAAAAUGAUAAUAACAUUUGUACAUUUCUUAGAGCGUUGUCGUGACAGUGAAAUGAAUUUAUGUACAUAAAGGUCCCUAUGAUAGUAUCUGCCACAUAGUAAAUCCUCUGUAAAUGUUAAUUGCUGCUAAUGUUGGUUUUUUUGUUAUUAGUACAUAUUCUAGAUUUCUUCAAGGAAUGCUUUUCUUAUCACUCGUUUUAUUUAUUUAUUUAUUUAUUUUAUUUUUUGGCUGUGGCAUGCAGCAGCUUGAUGUGGGAUCUCAGUUCCCAGACCAGGGAUUGAACCCAGGUUGCAGUGUGCAGCAGUGUAAGCACCAAGUCCUAACCACUAGGCCACCAGGGAACGCCAUUAUUUCUUUUUUUAAAAAAACUUCAUGAGUGUGUGUCUCUGUGUAGACAGUCAUUCAUCGUACUGUUGAACAUUAAUUCUGUGCUAAUUACUGUGCUGGGCUGGGGGAUAAAGAGCUCUUGUGGGGUUUUAAUGGGGAGACAUACUUAAAUUAUUAUAAAGCAUUGUAAUAAGUGCUAAUAGAUACACUGAGGAAGAGUGUGAGCACAAAAGAAAAAGUAACUAAUUCUGUGGUAAGAGGUGAGGAAGAGAGAGAGUGGAGAUUGUCAAAGCCCUCACAGAAGCUGGAGUGACUCAGGCAAGGAGGAGUAAGGGAGAGAAGGCAUUUUCAGAGAUAGGGACCAGGCAAAUGCAAGAGCAUGAAGCAGCCUAGCAUAGCAUAGGGGAAUUUUAUUUCCGCAUGUGGAUAGGGGUAGUUAGAAGAGAUGAGACUGGAAAGGAUUUUGGACUUUGUAUAGAAGACACCAUGGAGAGUUUUAAAUGGUUGUAUUUGUAAUAAGGAAAACCCUCCAAAAAUAUUUUCCCCAGAUAGUCUUCAGAAAAAAUAAAUCUGGUGAGUCUGUCUUCUGUCUAAAAUCUUUUGAUGACUGCUCAGUGCCUGUGGGGAUGGCCAGACUCUGCCUUGGCAUGCAAAGCCCAUACUGCUCCGGUUUCUUCACACCAUUUCAGUCUCAUCUCCACAUACUUGCUUACAUACACUGACCUUGCCACCCUCCCUAAUUGCAUUUUUCAUCAAUUUUCAUGUUCUUUUAUCCCUUCAUUACUCUGUAGAAUGAAUUCUGCUCAGGGUGUCCUACCAUCAUCACCCGUCCCCAUUGCACAGUUUAGGAGUUACUUGCUUGCUUUUUUCCCGUCUUCCAAAGCAUCCCAUGCUAAUAAAGAAAAUGGGCUUUUGAAUUGGACCAUCAUUUAAACCUUGGACUCCUCUACUCGUGAAGGGGAGAUCUUGUACAAAAUUUAAAGCUCUGUGACACUCUUCUGUUUUAUGUAAAUCGAGUGCACAAUGUACAGAUAAAUUACGUUGCCGUAGAAGGAUUACAUGAAAUACUGUGCUUGAAGCCUUCACCACAGUACCAGCAUUCGUUUGGUAUGUAGUAGCUAUCUCAUUACAGAUCCCUGCAGAAUUUAUUUACAUUGUUUUUGUGAUUUGUUUACCUGACUUCUCCCCAGCUGGACUGAGCUCCCUUAGGGUGGAGAUUUUGUUUCAUUUCUUAGUGUGUAGGGCGUACAUGAAUGUUGAUGCUUGGUAUGUGUUCAGUAAUAUGUGUUGACUGCUUGGUGGCUGUAUAGAGAGGAUGGCUCCAUAAAGGGAGAGACUAACUAGAAAGUAAUAACUUUUUAGUUCCUGAAGUUGUUGAACAUUACAAUCAUUUGAAAUCCUUAAAAAGAAAAAAAUAAAAAA
RNAcentral lists this long non-coding RNA (5773 nucleotides) under Sus scrofa (pig). Its description in RNAcentral is "lncRNA (ENSSSCG00025066503.1)". The record is from RNAcentral. Lineage: Eukaryota; Metazoa; Chordata; Mammalia; Artiodactyla; Suidae.